RNAcentral lists this ribosomal RNA (833 nucleotides) under Paraconiothyrium sp. RNAcentral's name for it is "eukaryotic LSU rRNA". It matches the Rfam family "Eukaryotic large subunit ribosomal RNA", at positions 52 to 907 of the family's 3401-position model. Lineage: Eukaryota; Fungi; Ascomycota; Dothideomycetes; Pleosporales; Didymosphaeriaceae. The record is from RNAcentral.
GGAGGAGAACAACAGGGAUUGCCCUAGUAACGGCGAGUGAAGCGGCAACAGCUCAAAUUUGAAAUCUGGCCCUCUUUGGGGGUCCGAGUUGUAAUUUGUAGAGGAUGCUUUGGCAUUGGCGGCGGUCUAAGUUCCUUGGAACAGGACAUCACAGAGGGUGAGAAUCCCGUACGUGGUCGCCUGCCUUUGCCGUGUAAAGCUCCUUCGACGAGUCGAGUUGUUUGGGAAUGCAGCUCUAAAUGGGAGGUAAAUUUCUUCUAAAGCUAAAUACCGGCCAGAGACCGAUAGCGCACAAGUAGAGUGAUCGAAAGAUGAAAAGUACUUUGGAAAGAGAGUCAAAAAGCACGUGAAAUUGUUGAAAGGGAAGCGCUUGCAGCCAGACUUGCCCGCAGUUGCUCACCUAGGCUUUGGCCUGGGGCACUCUUCUGUGGGCAGGCCAGCAUCAGUUUGGGCGGUUGGAUAAAGGCCUCUGUCACGUAUCUCCCUUCGGGGUGACCUUAUAGGGGAGGCGCAAUGCAACCAGCCCGGACUGAGGUCCGCGCAUCUGCUAGGAUGCUGGCGUAAUGGCUGUAAGCGGCCCGUCUUGAAACACGGACCAAGGAGUCUAACAUCUAUGCGAGUGUUUGGGUGUCAAGCCCGGGCGCGCAAUGAAAGUGAACGGAGGUGGGAACCCUUUGGGUGCACCAUCGACCGAUCCUGAUGUCUUCGGAUGGAUUUGAGUAAGAGCAUAGCUGUUGGGACCCGAAAGAUGGUGAACUAUGCUUGAAUAGGGUGAAGCCAGAGGAAACUCUGGUGGAGGCUCGCAGCGGUUCUGACGUGCAAAUCGAUCGUCA